UUGAAGAGUUUGAUCAUGGCUCAGAUUGAACGCUGGCGGCAGGCCUAACACAUGCAAGUCGAACGGUAACAGGAAACAGCUUGCUGUUUCGCUGACGAGUGGCGGACGGGUGAGUAAUGUCUGGGAAACUGCCUGAUGGAGGGGGAUAACUACUGGAAACGGUAGCUAAUACCGCAUAACGUCGCAAGACCAAAGAGGGGGACCUUCGGGCCUCUUGCCAUCGGAUGUGCCCAGAUGGGAUUAGCUUGUUGGUGGGGUAACGGCUCACCAAGGCGACGAUCCCUAGCUGGUCUGAGAGGAUGACCAGCCACACUGGAACUGAGACACGGUCCAGACUCCUACGGGAGGCAGCAGUGGGGAAUAUUGCACAAUGGGCGCAAGCCUGAUGCAGCCAUGCCGCGUGUAUGAAGAAGGCCUUCGGGUUGUAAAGUACUUUCAGCGGGGAGGAAGGGAGUAAAGUUAAUACCUUUGCUCAUUGACGUUACCCGCAGAAGAAGCACCGGCUAACUCCGUGCCAGCAGCCGCGGUAAUACGGAGGGUGCAAGCGUUAAUCGGAAUUACUGGGCGUAAAGCGCACGCAGGCGGUUUGUUAAGUCAGAUGUGAAAUCCCCGGGCUCAACCUGGGAACUGCAUCUGAUACUGGCAAGCUUGAGUCUCGUAGAGGGGGGUAGAAUUCCAGGUGUAGCGGUGAAAUGCGUAGAGAUCUGGAGGAAUACCGGUGGCGAAGGCGGCCCCCUGGACGAAGACUGACGCUCAGGUGCGAAAGCGUGGGGAGCAAACAGGAUUAGAUACCCUGGUAGUCCCACGCCGUAAACGAUGUCGACUUGGAGGUUGUGCCCUUGAGGCGUGGCUUCCGGAGCUAACGCGUUAAGUCGACCGCCUGGGGAGUACGGCCGCAAGGUUAAAACUCAAAUGAAUUGACGGGGGCCCGCACAAGCGGUGGAGCAUGUGGUUUAAUUCGAUGCAACGCGAAGAACCUUACCUGGUCUUGACAUCCACGGAAGUUUUCAGAGAUGAGAAUGUGCCUUCGGGAACCGUGAGACAGGUGCUGCAUGGCUGUCGUCAGCUCGUGUUGUGAAAUGUUGGGUUAAGUCCCGCAACGAGCGCAACCCUUAUCCUUUGUUGCCAGCGGUCCGGCCGGGAACUCAAAGGAGACUGCCAGUGAUAAACUGGAGGAAGGUGGGGAUGACGUCAAGUCAUCAUGGCCCUUACGACCAGGGCUACACACGUGCUACAAUGGCGCAUACAAAGAGAAGCGACCUCGCGAGAGCAAGCGGACCUCAUAAAGUGCGUCGUAGUCCGGAUUGGAGUCUGCAACUCGACUCCAUGAAGUCGGAAUCGCUAGUAAUCGUGGAUCAGAAUGCCACGGUGAAUACGUUCCCGGGCCUUGUACACACCGCCCGUCACACCAUGGGAGUGGGUUGCAAAAGAAGUAGGUAGCUUAACCUUCGGGAGGGCGCUUACCACUUUGUGAUUCAUGACUGGGGUGAAGUCGUAACAAGGUAACCGUAGGGGAACCUGCGGUUGGAUCACCUCCUU
This 1539-nucleotide ribosomal RNA is filed under the name Escherichia coli. RNAcentral describes it as "bacterial SSU rRNA". It matches the Rfam family "Bacterial small subunit ribosomal RNA". Lineage: Bacteria; Pseudomonadati; Pseudomonadota; Gammaproteobacteria; Enterobacterales; Enterobacteriaceae. The record is from RNAcentral.